GCAUUCACUUCUGCAGCACACAUACUAAAAUCAGAACAUUAUAGAGAAGACAAGCAUGGCCCCAGUGCAAGGAUGACAUGAAAAUCUGUGACACACUCCCUAUUUUU
Bison bison bison is the source of this 107-nucleotide small nuclear RNA. The record is from Ensembl. NCBI's taxonomy places the organism in Eukaryota, Metazoa, Chordata, Mammalia, Artiodactyla, Bovidae.